This 195-nucleotide microRNA precursor is filed under the name Oryza sativa Japonica Group (Japanese rice). RNAcentral's name for it is "MIR812 microRNA precursor family". It matches the Rfam family "MIR812 microRNA precursor family". Lineage: Eukaryota; Viridiplantae; Streptophyta; Magnoliopsida; Poales; Poaceae. The record is from Rfam by way of RNAcentral.
CAAAAAAAAAAACCUGGGUUUCCGUGUCCAACGUUUGACUCUCCGUUUUAUAUGAUUUAUUUUUAUAAUUAGUAUUUUCAUUGUUGUUAGAUGAUAAAACAUGAUUAAUACUUUAUGUGUGACUUGUCUUUUUUAAUUUUUUUCACAUUUUUUUAAAUAAGAUGAACGGUCAAACGUUGGACACGGAAAUCCAUG